Molecule: ribosomal RNA, 301 nt
Filed under: uncultured bacterium
Lineage: Bacteria
Description: partial 16S ribosomal RNA
Rfam family: Bacterial small subunit ribosomal RNA
Source: RNAcentral
CAGUCGCCGCGGUAAUACGUAGGGUGCGAGCGUUGUCCGGAAUUACUGGGCGUAAAGAGCUCGUAGGCGGUUUGUCGCGUCGUUCGUGAAAUCUUGGGGCUUAACUUCAAGCGUGCGGGCGAUACGGGCAGACUUGAGUACUACAGGGGAGACUGGAAUUCCUGGUGUAGCGGUGAAAUGCGCAGAUAUCAGGAGGAACACCGGUGGCGAAGGCGGGUCUCUGGGUAGUAACUGACGCUGAGGAGCGAAAGCGUGGGUAGCGAACAGGAUUAGAUACCCGCGUAGUCCCUGUCUCUUAUAC